GGGGGUGACUGGUUUCGACGGGGAUGCAAAGGUUCAGGUAGUGGCACGCCGAGGAGCCAACCUCGUAAAAAAGGCACCCAAGAUAGUUGCCAACGAAGAACUUGCUCUCGCUGCCUAAUUAACGCAGCGACGUCCCCCGGAGCUUAGCCCAUCGGUUCCGGGUAGGGCGCCAGAGAGAUGGGCUGGGUUACCACCUUCGCCUUCGAGGUGGUAGCCGAGAAAAGAGAAGGCUGGCUCCAGGGCGCCUGCCUGUGGGCUAACCCUGGAGUGAGAAAGCAAAACACAGGCUAAGCGUGUAGAAGCUACCUGAACCGCAUCUCCGGACGCGGGUUCGAAUCCCGCCACCUCCACCA
Molecule: non-coding RNA, 353 nt
Organism: Desulfurobacterium thermolithotrophum DSM 11699
Lineage: Bacteria; Pseudomonadati; Aquificota; Aquificia; Desulfurobacteriales; Desulfurobacteriaceae
Rfam family: transfer-messenger RNA
About the family: Bacterial tmRNA, also known as 10Sa RNA or SsrA, is named for its dual tRNA and mRNA-like properties. Its role is to liberate the mRNA from a stalled ribosome.
Source: Rfam